This 1348-nucleotide ribosomal RNA is filed under the name uncultured bacterium. RNAcentral's name for it is "bacterial SSU rRNA". It matches the Rfam family "Bacterial small subunit ribosomal RNA", at positions 29 to 1379 of the family's 1533-position model. The record is from RNAcentral.
ACGAACGCUGGCGGCGCGCUUACACAUGCAAGUCGAGCGAUAACCAUGGCUUCGGCCAUGGGGAGAGCGGCGAACGGGUGAGUAACACGUGAGCGAUCUGCCCUCGACACUGGGAUAGCCCGGGGAAACCCGGAUUAAUACCGGAUAGCCUCUCGAGCCCACGGGCUCGCGAGAAAAGAUGGCUUCGGCUUUCGGUUGAGGAGGAGCUUGCGGCGGAUUAGCUUGUUGGUGAGGUAACGGCUCACCAAGGCGACGAUCCGUAGCUGGUCUGAGAGGACGAUCAGCCACACUGGGACUGAGACACGGCCCAGACUCCUACGGGAGGCAGCAGUGGGGAAUAUUGCGCAAUGGGCGGAAGCCUGACGCAGCGACGCCGCGUGGGGGAUGACGGCCUUCGGGUUGUAAACCUCUUUCAGCAGGGACGAAGUUGACGUGUACCUGCAGAAGAAGCGCCGGCUAACUACGUGCCAGCAGCCGCGGUAAUACGUAGGGUGCAAGCGUUGUCCGGAAUUAUUGGGCGUAAAGAGCUCGUAGGUGGCUGGUCGCGUCUGCCGUGAAAGCUUAGGGCUUAACCCUAGGUCUGCGGUGGAUACGGGCCGGCUAGAGGUAGGCAGGGGCAAGUGGAAUUCCUGGUGUAGCGGUGAAAUGCGCAGAUAUCAGGAGGAACACCGGUGGCGAAGGCGGCUUGCUGGGCCUUACCUGACGCUGAGGAGCGAAAGCGUGGGGAGCGAACAGGAUUAGAUACCCUGGUAGUCCACGCUGUAAACGUUGGGCGCUAGGUGUGGGGGUCUUCCACGAUCUCCGUGCCGGAGCUAACGCAUUAAGCGCCCCGCCUGGGGAGUACGGCCGCAAGGCUAAAACUCAAAGGAAUUGACGGGGGCCCGCACAAGCGGCGGAGCAUGUUGCUUAAUUCGACGCAACGCGAAGAACCUUACCAAGGUUUGACAUCACCCGGAAAGCUUCAGAGAUGGGGCCCUCUUCGGAUCGGGUGACAGGUGGUGCACGGCUGUCGUCAGCUCGUGUCGUGAGAUGUUGGGUUAAGUCCCGCAACGAGCGCAACCCUUGCUCCAUGUUGCCAGCACGCCAACUUGUUUGGUGGUGGGGACUCAUGGGGGACUGCCGGGGUCAACUCGGAGGAAGGUGGGGAUGACGUCAAGUCAUCAUGCCCCUUAUGUCUUGGGCUGCAAACAUGCUACAAUGGCCGGUACAGAGGGUUGCGAUGCCGUGAGGUGGAGCGAAUCCCUAAAAGCCGGUCUCAGUUCGGAUUGGGGUCUGCAACUCGACCCCAUGAAGUCGGAGUCGCUAGUAAUCGCAGAUCAGCAAUGCUGCGGUGAAUACGUUCCCGGGC